RNAcentral lists this small nuclear RNA (23 nucleotides) under Arabidopsis thaliana (thale cress). RNAcentral's name for it is "snRNA_10162". The record is from RNAcentral. Lineage: Eukaryota; Viridiplantae; Streptophyta; Magnoliopsida; Brassicales; Brassicaceae.
AAAACACAAAACCUGAAUAUCUU